AGAGUUUGAUCCUGGCUCAGAUUGAACGCUGGCGGCAUGCCUUACACAUGCAAGUCGAACGGUAACGCGGGGCAACCUGGCGACGAGUGGCGAACGGGUGAGUAAUGCAUCGGAACGUGCCCAGUAGUGGGGGAUAGCCCGGCGAAAGCCGGAUUAAUACCGCAUACGACCUACGGGUGAAAGCGGGGGACCGUAAGGCCUCGCGCUAUUGGAGCGGCCGAUGUCGGAUUAGCUAGUUGGUGGGGUAAAAGCCUACCAAGGCGACGAUCCGUAGCUGGUCUGAGAGGACGACCAGCCACACUGGGACUGAGACACGGCCCAGACUCCUACGGGAGGCAGCAGUGGGGAAUUUUGGACAAUGGGGGCAACCCUGAUCCAGCCAUGCCGCGUGCGGGAAGAAGGCCUUCGGGUUGUAAACCGCUUUUGUCAGGGAAGAAACGCGUCGGGCUAAUACCCCGGCGUAAUGACGGUACCUGAAGAAUAAGCACCGGCUAACUACGUGCCAGCCGCCGCGGUAAUAC
Molecule: ribosomal RNA, 521 nt
Filed under: uncultured soil bacterium
Lineage: Bacteria
Description: bacterial SSU rRNA
Rfam family: Bacterial small subunit ribosomal RNA
Source: RNAcentral